This is a non-coding RNA of Bos taurus (domestic cattle), 73 nucleotides long. Lineage: Eukaryota; Metazoa; Chordata; Mammalia; Artiodactyla; Bovidae. The record is from Rfam.
UCCCUGGUGGUCAAAUGGUUAAGACUCUGUGCUUCCACUGCAGAGCGCACAGGUUCUAUCCUUGGUCAGAGAG